AUUGCUUCUCAGCCUUUUGGCUAAGAUCAAGUGUAGUAUCAUUAAAUCCAUUUACCCAUGUCCUAAGAAUUUUUUUUAUGAUUCAUAUGUUUGGUGAACUAGUGCUUUUAAUUUGCUUCAAGAAUUUUUCCUUUGCAUUCACAACUUAGCUGUAUGGUGUAACAGGAGAAGCUUUUGGCACAUCU
This is a small nuclear RNA of Oryctolagus cuniculus (rabbit), 185 nucleotides long. Its record names the gene U2. It matches the Rfam family "U2 spliceosomal RNA". Rfam says of the family: U2 is a small nuclear RNA (snRNA) component of the spliceosome (involved in pre-mRNA splicing). Complementary binding between U2 snRNA (in an area lying towards the 5' end but 3' to hairpin I) and the branchpoint sequence (BPS) of the intron results the bulging out of an unpaired adenosine, on the BPS, which initiates a nucleophilic attack at the intronic 5' splice site, thus starting the first of two transesterification reactions that mediate splicing. NCBI's taxonomy places the organism in Eukaryota, Metazoa, Chordata, Mammalia, Lagomorpha, Leporidae. The record is from Ensembl.